UACGGAGGAUGCAAGCGUUAUCCGGAAUGAUUGGGCGUAAAGCGUCCGCAGGUGGCUGUGUAAGUCUGCUGUUAAAGAGUCUAGCUCAACUAGAUAAAGGCAGUGGAAACUACACGGCUAGAGUGCGUUCGGGGCAGAGGGAAUUUCCGGUGGAGCGGUGAAAUGCAUUGAGAUCGGAAAGAACACCAACGGCGAAAGCACUCUGCUGGGCCGACACUGACACUGAGAGACGAAAGCUAGGGGAGCAAAUGGG
RNAcentral lists this ribosomal RNA (253 nucleotides) under uncultured bacterium. RNAcentral describes it as "partial 16S ribosomal RNA". It matches the Rfam family "Bacterial small subunit ribosomal RNA", at positions 524 to 776 of the family's 1533-position model. The record is from RNAcentral.